RNAcentral lists this ribosomal RNA (482 nucleotides) under uncultured bacterium. RNAcentral describes it as "partial 16S ribosomal RNA". It matches the Rfam family "Bacterial small subunit ribosomal RNA", at positions 28 to 523 of the family's 1533-position model. The record is from RNAcentral.
AGUGAACGUUGGCGGCGUGGAUUAGGCAUGCGAGUCGAGCGAGAACCGUAGCAAUACGGGGACAGCGGCGAAAGGGACAGUAAUAUGUAGGUACCUACCCUCGGGUCCGGGAUAGCUGCGGGAAACUGCAGGUAGUACCGGAUGACAUCUCCGGAUCAAAGGUGUGAUUCCGCCCGGGGAGGGGCCUGCAUCCUAUUAGCUUGUUGGUGGGGUAACGGCCUACCAAGGCGACGAUGGGUAGCGGGUGUGAGAGCAUGACCCGCGUCAUUGGGACUGAGACACUGCCCAGACACCUACGGGUGGCUGCAGUCGAGAAUCUUCGGCAAUGGGGGCAACCCUGACCGAGCGACGCCGCGUGCGGGAUGAAGGCCUUCGGGUUGUAAACCGCUGUCGUAGAGGAGGAAAUGCAGGGGGGUUCUCCCCUCUGUUUGACCUAUUCUAGGAGGAAGGACGGGCUAAGUUCGUGCCAGCCGCCGCGGUAA